CUUUUUUGUAUUUAGGAUUUUGAAAAUCCUUCUAGACAUUAUUUGUCACCUAGUGAAUUCACUAGU
RNAcentral lists this transfer RNA (66 nucleotides) under Carychium tridentatum. RNAcentral describes it as "tRNA-Ser". Lineage: Eukaryota; Metazoa; Mollusca; Gastropoda; Ellobiida; Ellobiidae. The record is from RNAcentral.